Molecule: long non-coding RNA, 500 nt
Organism: Salvelinus sp. IW2-2015
Lineage: Eukaryota; Metazoa; Chordata; Actinopteri; Salmoniformes; Salmonidae
Source: RefSeq, a predicted model, not a curated record
GGAAACAGGAAUUCGGGAACGCGCAUCCCAUCUAGGCGCACUCCCGGUUGAUUUUCCCAGAAUGGAGCAGUGAGCCAGUUACGGCGGUGAAAACCGUUCUCUUCUGAACACCGACUGAGACCACAAUAUUGCCUUGACACCCGGAUUUGCGACACAUUUAAAGCCUACCAGUUUUACGUUGGAUUUCGGAGGAAAACGUUCUGGAUUUGUGACAGGUGAACCAUCGAGUUGUUUCCUGCCAGACCUUUAGUGGGCAGUGAGCUCGGCUGUCUAGCUAAACUUCACCAAAGAUGGAUCAGCUGUCAGACGAGGAGCUGGACCAUACAGAGGGAGGAGGAGAGGAGGAGGACAGUGAUAAAGAAGAUCAGGAUCUAGACAAGAUGUUUGGAGCCUGGCUGGGAGAGCUGGAUAAACUCACACAGAAUCUAGAUGAUGGCUUCACAGAGGACAGUCCAGAAGGCCCCUCAGAAACCCUCCCUCAGACAGGAGACCAACAUGGC